This 455-nucleotide ribosomal RNA is filed under the name uncultured bacterium. RNAcentral describes it as "bacterial SSU rRNA". It matches the Rfam family "Bacterial small subunit ribosomal RNA", at positions 28 to 484 of the family's 1533-position model. The record is from RNAcentral.
GAUGAACGCUGGCGGCGUGCUUAACACAUGCAAGUCGAACGGGGAACAUUUUAAAGAAGCUUCGGCAGAUUUAGUUUGUUCCUAGUGGCGGACGGGUGAGUAACGCGUGGGUAACCUGCCUCACACUGGGGGAUAACAGUCAGAAAUGACUGCUAAUACCGCAUAAGCGCACAGAGCCGCAUGGCUCAGUGUGAAAAACUCCGGUGGUGUGAGAUGGACCCGCGUUGGAUUAGCCAGUUGGCAGGGUAACGGCCUACCAAAGCAACGAUCCAUAGCCGGCCUGAGAGGGUGGACGGCCACAUUGGGACUGAGACACGGCCCAGACUCCUACGGGAGGCAGCAGUGGGGAAUAUUGCACAAUGGGGGAAACCCUGAUGCAGCGACGCCGCGUGAAGGAAGAAGUAUCUCGGUAUGUAAACUUCUAUCAGCAGGGAAGAAAAUGACGGUACCKACWA